Molecule: long non-coding RNA, 232 nt
Filed under: Elaeis guineensis (African oil palm)
Lineage: Eukaryota; Viridiplantae; Streptophyta; Magnoliopsida; Arecales; Arecaceae
Description: long non-coding RNA (EGUI_LNC040370)
Source: RNAcentral
GAUUUAGAUAUGAUCUAAGAUUAUGAUCAGAUCUGAUAUAAUUUUGAUUAGAUCUAAAUUUAAAUAUAUAUAAUAUGUGAUGAGAUUAGAUGAUCUGAUUAGUAAGUACUUUGAUUGGAUUGAUCAUCAAGCCGUCCGGUCAUAGGAGCAAGAAGAUUUUAAAGACCAUCUCUUUCCAUUCGAUGGGGUGCUCUUACGGUAUGUAGGGGUGCCAUAUGAUUAGAUCCCAUGA